RNAcentral lists this ribosomal RNA (459 nucleotides) under Triticum aestivum (bread wheat). RNAcentral's name for it is "partial small subunit ribosomal RNA". The record is from RNAcentral. Lineage: Eukaryota; Viridiplantae; Streptophyta; Magnoliopsida; Poales; Poaceae.
AUGCUUGAUCCUACGUUCGACAAGGGCCAUCGUGCACGUUUGAUUGAGAACGGAGUGAUGCUCCCGCCACUGCGGAUGAGGGGUCACGGAGCGACCGUGAAGAUGGAGUACGAAGAGCGGUACGCUCCAUUCUACAGGAGAGCCCGACUGCUGGGUUGCGUCCUGCAGUUCAAGCGCAAGCCGCCGACACUCGUCCACGCAGCUCUCACGGCUUUGAUCAAUCGGUGGCGGCCAGAGACGCAUAGCUUCCAUCUUCCAUGUGGGGACAUGACGGUUACACUCGAGGAUUGGGGGAUGAUUACGGGCCUACCGCUCGAGGGUCAUGCUCUGACAGGACGAGUGGAGAGGAAGAACUGGCAUGACAGGGUUAUCGCCCUCAUCGGCGACUGCCCCCCAGAUAAGAAGAACCGGACUUCCGGCGUCCCGCUGCCCUGGCUCCUGAAGUACCGGAGCAAGUGC